Molecule: ribosomal RNA, 484 nt
Filed under: uncultured bacterium
Lineage: Bacteria
Description: partial 16S ribosomal RNA
Rfam family: Bacterial small subunit ribosomal RNA
Source: RNAcentral
AUUGAACGCUGGCGGCAGGCCUAACACAUGCAAGUCGAGCGGAUGAAGGGAGCUUGCUCCUGGAUUUAGCGGCGGACGGGUGAGUAAUGCCUAGGAAUCUGCCUGGUAGUGGGGGAUAACGUCCGGAAACGGGCGCUAAUACCGAAUACGUCCUGAGGGAGAUAGUGGGGGAUCUUCGGACCUCACGCUAUCACAUGAGCCUAGGCCGGUUUAGCUAGUUGGUGGGGUAAAGGCCUACCAAGGAGACGAUCCGUAACUGGUCUGAGAGGAUGAUCAGUCACACUGGAACUGAGACACGGUCCAGACUCCUGCGGGAGUCAGCAGUGAGGAAUAUUGGACAAUGGGCGAAAGCCUGAUCCAGCCAUGCCGCAUGUGUGAAGAAGGUCUUCGGAUUGUAAAGCACUUUAAGUUGGGAGGAAGGGCAGUAAGUUAAUACCUUGCUGUGUUGACGUUACCAACAGAAUAAGCACGGGCUAACUUCGUG